UGGGGAAUUUUGGACAAUGGGCGAAAGCCUGAUCCAGCAAUGCCGCGUGUGUGAAGAAGGCCUUCGGGUUGUAAAGCACUUUUGUCCGGAAAGAAAUCCUUGGCUCUAAUACAGUCGGGGGAUGACGGUACCGGAAGAAUAAGCACCGGCUAACUACGUGCCGGCAGCCGCGGUAAUACGUAGGGUGCAAGCGUUAAUCGGAAUUACUGGGCGUAAAGCGCGCGCAGGCGGUUUGCUAAGACCGAUGUGAAAUCCCCGGGCUCAACCUGGGAACUGCAUUGGUGACUGGCAGGCUAGAGUAUGGCAGAGGGGGGUAGAAUUCCACGUGUAGCAGUGAAAUGCGUAGAGAUGUGGAGGAAUACCGAUGGCGAAGGCAGCCCCCUGGGCCAAUACUGACGCUCAUGCACGAAAAGCGUGGGGGAGCAAAACAGGAUUAGAUACCCCUGGUAGUCCACGCCCUAAAACGAUGUCAACUAGUUGUUGGGGAUUCAUUUCCUUAGUAACGUAGCUAACGCGUGAAGUUGACCGCCUGGGGAGUACGGUCGCAAGAUUAAAACUCAAAUGAAUUGACGGGGUCAUAGCUGUUUCCU
Molecule: ribosomal RNA, 590 nt
Filed under: uncultured bacterium
Lineage: Bacteria
Description: partial 16S ribosomal RNA
Rfam family: Bacterial small subunit ribosomal RNA
Source: RNAcentral